This is a long non-coding RNA of Drosophila kikkawai, 851 nucleotides long. RefSeq lists it as uncharacterized. The record is from RefSeq and is a predicted model, not a curated record. Lineage: Eukaryota; Metazoa; Arthropoda; Insecta; Diptera; Drosophilidae.
UCGUAGAUCAUUUUUACUAUAAUAAUUCCGGCACGUGGAUUAUACAGUUUCAAUCGAAUUAAUAGUAAAGUGCCAGCAAGAGACCAGUGACAAAACUUAAUAAGUGUUGUGCACGAGUGAGAACGGGGCUAGUUUGGCGCUAGGCGACGGCUCUUACGUCCUUCGCUAAGCGUGGCGUAUCGCCGGCGUGGCAGCCACACGCGGCAAAAGUUGGCGAUCAGCGAACAAGGCGGCGCGGUGCAACCGAGCGGCCAUAACCUUACUCUUUGGAAGCCCUACGGCGGCAGCGACGUCGACGUGCAGCCCAACGCUGUGCGACCGAGCGGCCAUAACCUAACUUUUCGGAGGCCCUACGGCGGCAGAGACGUCGACGUGCGGCCAACGCAGCACGUGCGCGUAACCCUACUUUUUGGGAACCUCUGCUUUGCCACGUCGGCUGCCAAGGAGCUAUAGCGAUCCGAGUGCGACCGCACUAAACCGGGAGCGAGAAAUCUCCAAGAGUCAGACCAGAGGCGGCCUGUGUCUGAGUUCUCGGAGUAAUGUAACCGGCCUCGUGCAGCCCCAACUAAGGCGAUUCGGCUGUAUGGACAGCGGCUAAGCAUUACCUUUUCGAGCAUAAGCCAGUAGGAACAGUGGAGGUGCAGCGAAGGUAGCUGAGCGGAGACUAGGCAGGAGCAGGCGCAGCCGGAUAGAGAGCUCGCUUGAGCGGCAGGCAUGUGACCUGUCGAAGAAGUUGGAGGCGCGUCGCGGUGAGCAGCGCGCUCCCGCUGGAUGAUUCCAGUAACCCGAAGGACGUAAAGUUUUGAGAUCGAUUAAAUUUAGAGUAAUGCGUAACAUUAGAUAGAAAGUAA